This is a long non-coding RNA of Macrosteles quadrilineatus (aster leafhopper), 334 nucleotides long. RefSeq lists it as uncharacterized. The record is from RefSeq and is a predicted model, not a curated record. The transcript has 4 exons. Lineage: Eukaryota; Metazoa; Arthropoda; Insecta; Hemiptera; Cicadellidae.
GAGCUCGGUUAGAACAGUCGUCGUCGGUCCGUUGGUUACCCGGGUGUGAAGUGUUGUGAGUGAAUCAACUUUGCCCUCUUGGAUAUCUUGAACUUCAGGUACAACCACGUGACUUGGAGUACAUACAGUGACGUCACCAGCAAAGAGCAGAAGUGGACCCAGUAGAUGGCUACAAAGACCGUGUGUUGUGUGAUGGAGGCCCAGACGCCAUGGUUCCUAGGGCGGUGGUCAUGAGGGAGACGGGAGCACCCCCUCCCCCACCUGUCAAGAACACCACCUCCCUCCUGUCACUGCUACACAACUGUUCUAGUCACCAACACUACCCUCAGGUAAG